RNAcentral lists this long non-coding RNA (621 nucleotides) under Anser brachyrhynchus (Pink-footed goose). RNAcentral describes it as "lncRNA (ENSABRG00000011003.1)". The record is from RNAcentral. Lineage: Eukaryota; Metazoa; Chordata; Aves; Anseriformes; Anatidae.
AGAAAAGGAAGAAAUUUUGAAAGACACAAAUUAAACUUGUCAUUUCGUCUUUUUGUGAUUCAGCUCCAAAUAGAGAAAACUGGAUGUAUCCAUCUCAGAGAAAGGAGAGCAAAACAAGGUCUGUUGGUAGAAGUCUCAAAUAUUAUGCUUCUCCCCAUUUCUCAUUUCCUCAUUUUUCUGAUCUGGGAGGAGAGCUUCUUUGUCUUGUCAUGAUCAAAGGGAGAGGAGAGUGCCUGAUGUUAUCAGGAUUUUCACGAACUCUUGAAUGUCAGGAAGAAGGAGAGUGAAUAUUACCCUUAGACACAGUGUGUGGAUGUUUCAGCCCUGCUAAGUGAUGGGAGAACCUCAUGGGAUGGAACAGUUCACAUGGUGCUACUCCAAGCUGCUGCUGUUUCCUCCAGUAUUGGUUCAUCCUCACCGUUUCUGUGUUUGCUAGAGGCACGUAGUAGCAAAGGUAGAGAAUGGCGAGAACACAGGGGAGCUUUCAAAAGUUUAGGUCAUGUUACUGCAAGGAUUGCAGCAUCCAGCGGCAGACACAUGACUGGGACAGACGUCUCUUGGAUUCUCAUUCCCUUUCUUCUCACACAAAAAAUAUGUGUUUGCCUUACAACUACCAGAUGA